RNAcentral lists this ribosomal RNA (180 nucleotides) under uncultured bacterium. RNAcentral describes it as "partial 16S ribosomal RNA". It matches the Rfam family "Bacterial small subunit ribosomal RNA", at positions 1321 to 1500 of the family's 1533-position model. The record is from RNAcentral.
UGAAGCUGGAAUCGCUAGUAAUCGCGGAUCAGAAUGCCGCGGUGAAUACGUUCCCGGGUCUUGUACACACCGCCCGUCACACCAUGGGAGUCGGGAAUGCCCGAAGCCGGUGGCCCGAUCGAGAGAAGGGAGCCGUCGAAGGCAGGCCGGAUGACUGGGGUGAAGUCGUAACAAGGUAUC